Molecule: ribosomal RNA, 416 nt
Filed under: uncultured bacterium
Lineage: Bacteria
Description: bacterial SSU rRNA
Rfam family: Bacterial small subunit ribosomal RNA
Source: RNAcentral
GAUGAACGCUGGCGGCGUGCUUAGCACAUGCAAGUCGAACGGAGUGCCCGUGAAAGAGUUUUCGGACAAUGGAUCGGGUUACUUAGUGGCGGACGGGUGAGUAACGCGUGAGGAACCUGCCUUGGAGUGGGGAAUAACACAGUGAAAAUUGUGCUAACACCGCAUGAUGCAGUUGAGUCGCAUGGCUCUGACUGCCAAAGAUUUAUCGCUCUAAGAUGGCCUCGCGUCUGAUUAGCUAGUUGGUGGGGUAACGGCCCACCAAGGCGACGAUCAGUAGCCGGACUGAGAGGUUGGCCGGCCACAUUGGGACUGAGACACGGCCCAGACUCCUACGGGAGGCAGCAGUGGGGAAUAUUGGGCAAUGGGCGCAAGCCUGACCCAGCAACGCCGCGUGAAGGAAGAAGGCUUUCGGGUGU